AAGUCGUAACAAGGUUUCCGUAGGUGAACCUGCGGAAGGAUCAUUAACGAGUCUUUGAAGUGGGUUUGAUGCUGGCCGUCUCAGGCAUGUGCUCGCCCCGCUCCAAUCCACUCAACCCCUGUGCACUUCAUGUUCGAAGGUGUGACUUCCCCCUGCGAGGGGGAGCAGCUCGGGAGACCGAGCCGGAGUCGCUCUUUGGGCACACACAAACUCUUAUUGUAACUGAAUGUAUAACAAGGCCUACGGGCCCUAAACUAAACAAUACAACUUUCAACAACGGAUCUCUUGGCUCUC
RNAcentral lists this unclassified non-coding RNA (294 nucleotides) under air metagenome. RNAcentral describes it as "partial contains small subunit ribosomal RNA, internal transcribed spacer 1, and 5.8S ribosomal RNA". The stretch from base 1 to 46 matches the Rfam family "Eukaryotic small subunit ribosomal RNA", at positions 1786 to 1831 of the family's 1831-position model. The record is from RNAcentral.